Molecule: long non-coding RNA, 6197 nt
Filed under: Gossypium barbadense (sea-island cotton)
Lineage: Eukaryota; Viridiplantae; Streptophyta; Magnoliopsida; Malvales; Malvaceae
Description: long non-coding RNA (GBAR_LNC021182)
Source: RNAcentral
GGGUAUAAAAUUCUAUUACAAGAAACACUCUCGACUACUCUCAACAACGAACAUGUUUACAAAACUUUUUACAAAAAAUUAUGGCUCUUGGAUCUACCGUCUAAAAUAAAAUUCAUGAACUGGAUAAUUGUUAACAACUAUCUGCCUACUCAAUAUAACUUGUACCAAAGGAGGCUAGUGGGGUUUGCAAAUUGUCCUAAAUGUAUAGGCGAAGUGGAAAAUGCUAAACAUGCUUUCCAGGACCGUAUAACAGCAAAGGAAACCUGGAGAAAGUUAGGUAUUACUUGGCCAUGGGAACUAAAUGAAGGGCAGUUUAGAGACUGGAUGUUAUACCUUUACAAUAAUGCUUCAAUACAACAAUGUCGAAAAAUAGCUUGCUCAUUCUAGCCUUUGUAGACAGCAAGAAACAAAUAACUGUAUGAGGGGAUUCUUCAAAACGAAUCAAAAAUUGAUUGCUUUAUCACAAAUUAUGUACAAGAAUUAGAGGAACUUAAUAACAGGUUACCUAGACGAAGAAUAGAGGGAGAACGUCGGAGACCGUCGGAGGAGUCAUUUGUAAAUAUAAACUUCAAUGUUGCAUUUCGCAAACAAAGUAUAAGUUCAUGCUCGGGGAUAGUGGUCAGAGAUUCAAGUGGGAGGGUUCUAAAUUUUACCAUGCGCCUAAAUGAGCACAUACCAAUUGGGUUUGCAGCAGAGGCGAUUACUUGUGUCCAGGCGGUUCAAUUAGGGUGGAUCUAGGAGUGGUGAGGGCUGAAAUUGUAGGUGAUGCAUUAUCAGGCAUAAAGAAGGUGAAAUCAAGAAAUAUAGAUAAAUCAUAAAUCAAUGCCUAUGUAUUAAGUGCACAAGUGCUCAGUUUUGGCUACGAAACAUGCCUGUUUAGACAUACCUCUGUUGGGAAGAAACCGAACAACCGAAACAAAGCGAAAGCACAACCGGUGUUCUUUCUCUCCUUAUAACUCAAAGUCAAGAACACCUUAUCACCUAGCUACUGUCCAAAAAUCAGCUCAAUCGAACCACGGAUGGACCUUCGAUCGAAGAGUUGAUCACUGCUGCACCAAGCUUGAAAAUCUGAUUUUUUCUAUUCUCUUUCUCUCUAUUUUUUCUUUAGCUCUCUGCAGAAAAAUUUCUGCCCAACACCCGUUAAUAAGCCAAAAAAUUGGCUUUUGACAAAACCAAAAGAAAAAGGAAGGCAAAACAUUUGUGCCAGAAAAUAUGGGUUUCCCACAUAGUGGGACCCAUACCCAACAAAUCUCCCCCUCCAACUAUGUGGGGAAUGCCUCCAUACCGGAGGUCAAACAACAUGCUUCAAAUUUUCCUCUUGGUAAGGCCUUCGUCAACAUAUCAGCACCAUUAUCAUUAGUGUGUAUCUUCUCAAGCUCUAACAGCUUAGCUUCAAGAACAUCUCGUAUCCAAUGGUACCUCACAUCAAUAUGCUUAGAUCUAGCAUGAAAAGUUGAGUUCUUACCAAGAUGAAUAGCACUCUGGCUAUCACAGUACAGGACAUACUUCUCCUGAGUAAAACCAAGCUCAUGCACAAACUUCUUCAUCCAAAGCAUCUCCUUACACGCUUCGGUUGCUGCAAUGAACUCUGAUUCGGUGGUGGACAAUGCAACACACUUUUGCAGUCUCGAUUGCCAUGCCACAGCUCCCCCUGCAUAAGUGAUUAAGUAACCUGAAGUAGAUCUCCUCGAGUCAAUGUCUCCGGCCAUGUCUGAAUCUGUAUACCCAACAAGAACAGGUUUCUCAUUGCCGAAACAAAGUUUCAUGUUGGAAGUGCCACGAAGAUAUCUCAUAAUCCACUUCACUGCAUUCCAAUGCUCUCUGCCUGGAUUAGAAAGAAACCGACUAACUGUACCAACGGCAUAAGCCAAGUCUGGUCUCGUGCAAACCAUUGCGUACAUCAAACUACCCACGGCUGAAGAGUAAGGAAUUUUCUGCAUCUCUUCCUUCUCCUUUUCUGUGGAAGGUCUAUGCUUAACACUCAAUCUAAAGUGCAUAGCAAAGGGAGUAUUCACCGCUUUAGCUUUGUCCAUACUAAACCUUUGAAGUACUUUCUCAAUGUACCUCUCUUGUGAUAACCAUAAUUUCUUGGCCUUUCUAUCACGUGUCAGUCUUAUGCCAAGAAUUUGCUUUGCUGGCCCCAAAUCCUUCAUUGCAAAGGAUUUACUCAACUCUUGUUUCAACUUCUCAAUUCUAGAAGCAUUCUGACCAACAAUAAGCAUAUCAUCAACAUAGAGCAAAAGAAUAAUAAAAUCAUCACCAGAGAAUCUCUUAACAAACACACAAUGAUCAGAAGUAGUCUUCUUGUAGCCUUGCUCCCCCAUAACAGACUCAAACUUCUUGUACCAUUGCCUUGGAGCUUGCUUCAAACCAUACAAGCUCUUCUUCAAUCUGCACACAUAGUCCUCUUUCCCUUGUGCAACAAAACCCUCUGGCUGCUCCAUGUAAAGCUCUUCUUCCAAGUCACCAUGAAGAAAAGCAGUUUUCACAUCCAUUUGUUCAACCUCUAGGUCAUAACAAGCUGCCAAACUCAGUAUAGUUCUGAUAGAGGACAUCUUCACAACCGGAGAAAAUAUUUCUUCAAAAUCAACCCCCUUUUUCUGAGUAUAACCCUUGACGACCAAUCUAGCUUUGUAUCGUGGAGAUGAAGACUUCUCUUCUUGCUUCAACCUGUAAACCCACCGAUUCUUCAAAGCUCUUUUGCCCUUAGGCAGUUUCACCAAUUCAAAAGUAUGGUUCUCAUGCAAUGAUUGAAGUUCGCCAUUCAUCGCUUCAACCCACUGAUCUUUGCAUUCACUCUCCAUAGCCUCUUCAUAACAUUCAGGUUCUCCCCCGUCAGUCAAAAGAACAUAUUCAUCAGGAGAAUACCUGACAGAAGAUCGUCGAUCUCUGGAAGACCUUCGAAGUGGAACUGCUGGUGGAGCUAUAGGUGCUUGUUGUUGAUCAUUCACAACAUCAUCCAUGGGAGUAUCAAAGUCACCUAUAGUCUGAUGGUCACCACUAACAUCACCAUGCACAUCAUCCUGGAUAGGAUCUGGUGAAGAGUCUAAGGGAACCGGAUUCACAUCGAUCAAGUCACCACUACCUUGUGAAUCCACUUUCUCCGUCUUAUCAAUGUCAUCAAUGGUCUGAUCCUCAAUGAAGACAACAUCUCUGCUUCUCACGAGUUUCUUCUGAACUGGAUCAUAGAGUCUAUAACCAAACUCACCAUCUAGACCAUAACCAAUAAAAAUGCAUUGUCGAGCCUUGGCAUCCAACUUGGAUCUUUCAUCCUUUGGAACAUGAACAAAUGCUUUACAACCGAACACACGUAGGUGAUCAUAUGACACGUCUUUACCAAACCAAACUCUAUCUGGCACAUCACCUUUCAAAGGAACACUAGGAGACAGAUUUAUCACAUGUGUCACUGUAUUCAAAGCUUCAGCCCAAAACGAUCUUGGUAACUUUGCAUCUGACAACAAACAUCUGACUCUCUCAAUCAAUGUUCGGUUCAUUCUUUCAGCUAACCCAUUUAACUGUGGAGUCUUUGGUGGUGUUCUCUGAUGUCUGAUUCCCUGUCGCAGACAAUACUCAUGAAACGACCCUGUGUACUCGCCACCAUUAUCAGUACGAAUGCACUUCAACUUCUUCCCAGUUUCCCUUUCAACUGAUGCUUGAAACUGUUUAAACACCUCAAAGACUUGAUUUUUAGACUUUAAAGUGUAAACCCAUAGCUUUCUUGAACAAUCAUCAAUGAAAGUCACAAAGUAAAGUGCACCACCAUGUGAUCUUACUUUUAUCGGACCACAAACAUCUGAAUGGACCAACUCUAGCAACUCUGAUUUCCUAUGAGGAGGAUGGCUUCUAAAUGAAACUCUUUUCUGCUUUCCUGCUAGACAAUGAGCACAAUUCUUCAGUGUAGCAUUCUUUAAACCCGAAAGUUGAUUCUUCUUCGCUAAACAGCUAAGCCCCUUCUCACUCAUGUGACUGAGUCGUUUAUGCCACAACUCAGUUGAGUUGUCAUUCAGUGUCACAUUCACCGUCUCUCGAGAAGUCAAAGCUUGCAUCAAGUACAAAUUUGAGCUCUUCUUUCCUCGAGCCACAACCAAGGAGCCUUUAGUCAGCUUCCACUGCCCUUCACUGAAGGUGUUACAGAAUCCCUCAUCAUCAAGUUUUCCUGCAGAAAUCAAAUUCAAACGGACAUCCGGUGCAUGUCUGACAUCCUUGAGAGUUAACUUUGUUCCAUUGUUACUUACCAAGCUAACAUCUCCCAUACCAAUAACCGAAACCAAACCAUCAUUACCCAUCUUCAAUACCCCAAAAUCACCAGGAGUAUAAGAUGUGAAGAAUUCCUUCCUCGACGUGACAUGAAGUGAUGCACCAGUAUCAAUCACCCAACUAGUCUCGUCGCAUGCUAGGUUGACCAAAUUCUGAUCACAAAUAACUAACAAAUCUUCACGAGUAACAGUAGUAACACGCUCGGAUUUUUCAUCGUCAUUCCGGUCGUGUUUAUCACCACCACUUUUGUUCUCUUUCUUCCACUUGAAGCAAUAUUUCUUGAUAUGGCCUUUCUUACCACAAUGAUGACACUCAAGAUUCUUGUAUCUCGAUCUUGACUUGCUUCGGCUUUUAUCUCUACCCUUUCCAUCUUUGUCUCUGUUUCUCCCCCUGUUCUCGAUAACCAACACCUCGGACUGUGAUGUAGAACCCUGAGAUCUUCUUCUAACCUCUUCAUUCAACACACCACUCUUAGCCAAAUCCAAAGUAAUAAUACCCUGUGGGGCAGAAUUAAUGAGUGAGACUCGAAAGGUCUCCCAAGAGUCUGGUAGAGUAGCAAGCAACCAAAGUCCUAAAAUCUCGUCAUCAAAUUUGACACCCAUACCAAGCAACUGAUUCAUCAUACUCUGAAAUUCACUAACAUGGUCAGCUAUAGACAUUCCUUCUUUAUAUUUCAGCGCCAUCAUUUUCUUCAGCAAAAAUAACUUGUUAUUGCCCGACCUCGAAGCAUACAAGCUUUCAAGCUUCUCCCACAAUGUUCGAGCAUGUGUCUCCUGAUCAAUGUGAUUGUAAACAUUUUCUUCAACAAAUUGCCGAAUAAAGCCACACACUUGUUGAUGCUCAAAUUCCCAUUCUUCAUCACUUUUCGAAUCGGGUUUUUGAGUAGUAAAGACCGGAAGAUGCAAAGCCUUCACAAACAACAAGUCCUUCAUUUUAUUCCGCCAAAGUUGAUAAUUUGUGCCAUUCAACAUAAUCAUCUUGCUCGUAUUAAUUUCCAUAAUUAUCUGACACAAUAACCAAGCUCUGAUACCAGUUUGUUGGGAAGAAACCGAACAACCGAAACAAAGCGAAAGCACAACCGGUGUUCUUUCUCUCCUUAUAACUCAAAGUCAAGAACACCUUAUCACCUAGCUACUGUCCAAAAAUCAGCUCAAUCGAACCACGGAUGGACCUUCGAUCGAAGAGUUGAUCACUGCUGCACCAAGCUUGAAAAUCUGAUUUUUUCUAUUCUCUUUCUCUCUAUUUUUUCUUUAGCUCUCUGCAGAAAAAUUUCUGCCCAACACCCGUUAAUAAGCCAAAAAAUUGGCUUUUGACAAAACCAAAAGAAAAAGGAAGGCAAAACAUUUGUGCCAGAAAAUAUGGGUUUCCCACAUAGUGGGACCCAUACCCAACAACCUCGAGAUUGACAAACAAGGUGGCGCAUGUAUUAGCAGUGGAUGGGUUAAAAACAAUAGGGGGUGCUUAUCUGCCAAACGAAUUUCCUCGGUCAGCUGCGAUGGAGGCGGAAGAAGAUUGCCGAUGGAUAUUGCCGAGAGAAUAAGUGGUGGGAUAAAGACUGCAUGGUUUGACAGAGUAAAUGAAUCUGGCAAAUUUGACAAGGGGUUUUCAACGUUAAAAGGGUCUAAUGAGCGAAACUCCGACCAAAACAGUCCUUUAACAAAAUAGAGUGGAUGGGUAGAGGGGGUACCUCAGAAUAAAGUCGAUUGAAGAAGACAUCGGCGUUUUAAGAAGUUUUAGACUAUUAGGAGAGGUGCCUCUGAUUCUGUCACAAGUUUUUGACAAAACAAUCGACCAGUCAGGAGAACAGGAACUGCUGGGAUUUGAAUGGAUUUGAAAAGAGCUUCGAUCGUUGAAAUGGCUGGCUUUUAAGUUGGUGUGCCGUUUGGGGUUUUCCUUUUGUUUUUGGAAACUAUUUAGGUUUCUUUAGGUCUGCGUUUUAG